This 451-nucleotide ribosomal RNA is filed under the name uncultured bacterium. RNAcentral describes it as "bacterial SSU rRNA". It matches the Rfam family "Bacterial small subunit ribosomal RNA", at positions 29 to 524 of the family's 1533-position model. The record is from RNAcentral.
AACGAACGCUGGCGGCAUGCCUAACACAUGCAAGUCGAACGAAGUCUUCGGACUUAGUGGCGCACGGGUGCGUAACGCGUGGGAAUCUGCCCUUGGGUGCGGAAUAACUUCUCGAAGGGGAUGCUAAUACCGCAUAAUGUCGUAAGACCAAAGAUUUAUCGCCCAAGGAUGAGCCCGCGUAAGAUUAGCUAGUUGGUGGGGUAAAAAGCCUACCAAGGCGACGAUCUUUAGCUGGUCUGAGAGGAUGAUCAGCCACGCUGGGACUGAGACACGGCCCAGACUCCUACGGGAGGCAGCAGUGGGGAAUAUUGGACAAUGGGCGAAAGCCUGAUCCAGCAAUGCCGCGUGAGUGAUGAAGGCCCUAGGGUUGUAAAGCUCUUUUACCAGGGAUGAUAAUGACAGUACCUGGAGAAUAAGCUCCGGCUAACUCCGUGCCAGCAGCCGCGGUAAU